This 466-nucleotide ribosomal RNA is filed under the name uncultured bacterium. Its description in RNAcentral is "partial 16S ribosomal RNA". It matches the Rfam family "Bacterial small subunit ribosomal RNA", at positions 28 to 507 of the family's 1533-position model. The record is from RNAcentral.
GACGAACGCUGGCGGCGUGCUUAACACAUGCAAGUCGAACGGAAAGGCCCAGCUUGCUGGGUACUCGAGUGGCGAACGGGUGAGUAACACGGGGGUGAUCUGCCCUCAAGUUUGGGAGAAGCCUAGGAAACAGGGUGGAAUACCGGAUAUGAUAAACUGUGGCACGGUGGGUGGAGGAAAGCAAUUGCGGGUGUGGAUGGGGCCGCGGCCUAUCAGCGUGUUGGUGGGGAAAUGGCCUACCAAGGCGACGACGGGUAGCCGACCUGAGAGGGAGAUCGGCCACACUGCUACUGCGACACGGCCCAGUCUCCUACGGGAGGCAGCAGUCGGGAAUAUUGCACAAUGGGCGCAAGCCUGUUGCAGCGACGCCGCGUUCGGGAUGACGGCCUUCGGGUUGUAAACCUCUUUCUCCGGGGACGAAGCGUGAGUGACGGUACCUGGAGAAGAAGCCCCGGCCAACUACGUG